AGGACGAACGCUGGCGGCGUGCUUAACACAUGCAAGUCAAGGGGGCCCAGCAAUGGGCAACCGGCGAACGGGUGCGUAACACGUGAGCAACCUACCGAAAUGUGGGGGAUAGCCGGCCUAACGGCCGAGUAAUACCGCAUACGCUCUCGAUGAGGCAUUUCAUUGAGAGGAAACCUACGGGACAUUUCGAGGGGCUCGCGGCCUAUCAGCUAGUUGGAGAGGUAACGGCUCACCAAGGCAACGACGGGUA
RNAcentral lists this ribosomal RNA (250 nucleotides) under uncultured soil bacterium. Its description in RNAcentral is "partial 16S ribosomal RNA". It matches the Rfam family "Bacterial small subunit ribosomal RNA", at positions 26 to 285 of the family's 1533-position model. The record is from RNAcentral.